Molecule: long non-coding RNA, 1873 nt
Organism: Folsomia candida
Lineage: Eukaryota; Metazoa; Arthropoda; Collembola; Entomobryomorpha; Isotomidae
Exons: 3
Source: RefSeq, a predicted model, not a curated record
UAACCUUAAUAAUCGAUCGGUCUUCCGUGUUGGUAAAAUUUUCUUUAUGAACGUGCACUUAGGUUUUACCAAACAGACACGGAAUGCGGACCAACGAACGUAUUUACAGUCGGGUGGAAUGAAUACCUAGUUGGGCCGAGGGUUACGGAACAGGCGACCUUUUAAUGUUGAUGGAUAAUGUGAUGGACUUUAGUGCUGAAUAAUACAUACUUUUGUAUAUUGACACGAAUUUGGGUUGCAUGCUGUCAUAGAUAUUAAUAGAAUCGAUAUAUACAUAGCGAAAUGAAAUGAAAUUGGAUGCCCGUCUGAAUGUGAGAAGGAAGCAGGGUUGCUUUUUCAGUUGGGAGAAACCCACAUUUUAUGCAGUUUUUUAUUGCCUCUUCUGAGAAUAGUUUAUUUGGGAGGUUCUAAGUAUUUAUAAAUUAGAUAGGAGGGACCCUAAGGCAAACGUUUUGAAAAAAGAUCCCGGGAUAAAAAUUGCAUAAAAAUCGAUAUGAACGAGUGAAUUAUUCUGAAUAAUCUGCUGCAUCGUAAAAUUUAACUCAAGUUAUCAGCCCAAUGACCUUCAGUUCAUAUACCUUAGCAUGGAGUGAAUGUCAUGUAUUCAGACAUAUAUGUAUGUAUACACGAAACAGGUAUACCAGCAUAUGCAAAUGUGGAUGAAUCAUGUGAUUAAAACGUGCCUGAGGAGAUUCAGACUCACAGUUGGGAAGGAUUGACGUUGAAUACAUGAAUACGUAAGUUGGGGAUGUCUCAAAAUGAGAAUAAAUGGAGUGACGUGUGAUGCUUGUUGCCUUAUCAAAUUCAAGUUUAAGUUAAAUAUUUAUGUAAAAAAUUUCUUUUUUAGUUGAAAAUUUUCAAUAAAUUUGGAAUAUGGUUAUGGAUAUUUUUUCGAAAUUUUCUGAUUUUUUUAAUACUGUUUUGUCCAUUAUUGCAAUUUCGGAGUUUUAUCCUGUUUUGCGUUGUUCUAAAAACUUAAAAAUUUCUGAAUUUUUUUAAAUUGAAAUUUUUCAAUGAAUUUGGACUUUCAAAGAUUCAGCAUGAUUUUUCGUAAUUUUUUCUGAUUUUUUUUCGCAUAUUUUUUUCAUACCGUAAUUCCUCCAUAAUUGAAUUGUCUGACUUUUUAAGUGGUUUCAUCCUGUUUUGCGUACACGCUUAAAAAUGUUCCCGACUUUGCAAGAAGUAAACUGGUAGACAACUAUAUAUAAAGUAACAUUGACUAGAUUUAGCGUUAAAUGGAUAACUUCAAUUUUAGUUAUGCAUCAUCUAGCCAUAAUUUUAGUUAAGUCGGUAUAUUACUUUAAACUAAGUUAGACGUUACACCAAUCAGGGUCAGACUGUACUAGCAUUUACUACAUUCCGGGUACUUUGUCCCGCCAAAAAAAAGCUUGGCCCACGCUCCAAUUUUCCAUCGUCGUUGUAACAAGAGUGAGUGCCCGAGUGCGAAUUAAAACUAAAGUAUAUAUUAAUUAAUUUGCCUAAUAAUUAAUUAGUUGAAGCUCAAAUAUUCCACAAUUCCACACCAACUGUACUAGAUAUGGAAGAAACUGCUCGACUACUAUCGCAAUGUGGGCUGGAUUGCUAUUUUGAUACUUUCAAGGAAAAUGCAAUAACGGACGACGCGACGCGAGAAGAUUUGGCAACAAUUGUACCAAUACGAAACUUUGGAAGGAAUUCAGAAGUAGAAAAAUGGCACGAUUUACGUAUGUUUUCAAUGCAAAAAUUCCUAUCACCAUUACUCUCCGAUCACUAUAAAUAUGUGCAUAGGUUAUCAAAGUUAAGGCAAUUAUUUCAUAUUAUUUUUGGUUGUUUUGUAAUUGUGAUUUAAAGAGUUCAAGUGGAUUUAAUUGAAAUAAAUAUAUGCUAAUGAGGA